AUGAUUGCUGCUGGCCCAUCUGGGCAUGUGCACGUCUGCCAUCUUUAUCUCUCCACCUGUGCACAUAUUGUAGGUCUGGAAUAAAUUUCUGAGGCAACUNNNCUAGUGGGGAAUGCUGCUGCGAAGUGGCUUUGCCUGUAAUUUCAGAUCUAUGUUUUCAUAUACACCAUAAAAAUGUAACAGNAUGUAUUAAUGGGUCUUGUACCUAUAAACUAUAUACAACUUUC
This 227-nucleotide ribosomal RNA is filed under the name uncultured fungus. Its description in RNAcentral is "partial contains internal transcribed spacer 1 and 5.8S ribosomal RNA". The record is from RNAcentral. Lineage: Eukaryota; Fungi.